CUUCCUCGCCGGGCUCUCGCGUGCUCUUCCUCUCUCCCAAAGCCUCCAUGAGCGAGUGAGCGACCGACCGACCCAUGCUGGCAGAAGCUCCAGGCUUGCUGGCAGCGGGAGAAAGUCCUUCGGCAGGAUAAAGCGUCGGCAGCUUGGGGCUGGGUGACCCUUCUGGAGCCGGAACAGCAGUUUGCUCAGUUUUGGUUUCACACCUUUCCUCUAGGAACUAAGACAGCACAGUGGAUUAUCAAAGCACGCAAGUGUUUUCUUCCAAAGAGAAAGUAUGGACAAUCAACUCCGACAACCGACUCUUCCUCUGCCAGCAGCUAACGCCUGAGGGCCCCCCCACCUGCACAAAUCCUCGUAGGAAGAGAAGAGUCUCAAGUUCUUCAAAAAUUUAAGGAAAUCAUCCCAAAGGUAGCUGCUAGGGAAAACGAUCCCUGGUGGCAGGGUACACAAUAGACGCCAGUCUCAGCUCUUUUCUGCAGGGUCACAAAUUCAGACCGCACGUCUGACCAGCAGGGAAGUUUAGGACAACUGAGUGCAGAUACUCCCAAUGUCUACCAGUUCACCUGUGCUUUAAGACUCACUGCAAAGCCUCAGCUGGAAAAAGAAUCACCUCUGGGUAUCCAACCAAAUAAUCAGUUUCAAUUUAUUUGUUUCUUUAUUUUCAGCCGUCAAUCAGUUCACCAAUUUCCAUGAACAUGUCAUCCUCCUCAUUCUCUGGGUCCACGUCAAUUUCCUCUUCCAGUUUGCCUCCCGAGAUUUCCCAAAGAAACUUCUCAAAGUCAUCUUCUACAGAGAAGGGGGCUUCCCAGGCCCCUCUGGAGCUCAACCGGUCUGGCUUUACUGCUACUUGUGAGGAAGCUGAGGAUGAGCUUGCGACCUCUGACGGUGCCACAGAGUCUGCCUGGCUUCCAAUAUGCAGUUCAGGACUUGGAAG
Long non-coding RNA from Aquila chrysaetos chrysaetos, 934 nucleotides. RefSeq lists it as uncharacterized. The record is from RefSeq and is a predicted model, not a curated record. The transcript has 4 exons. Lineage: Eukaryota; Metazoa; Chordata; Aves; Accipitriformes; Accipitridae.